ACUGCUCGGAAGACAACCUCCUCGUGGUGAGCAGUGGGCAACAUCGUUGCGGUCAACAACCGCAACAUGGCUAAGUCUUCA
This 81-nucleotide non-coding RNA is filed under the name unclassified sequences. The record is from RNAcentral.